Molecule: ribosomal RNA, 440 nt
Filed under: uncultured bacterium
Lineage: Bacteria
Description: partial 16S ribosomal RNA
Rfam family: Bacterial small subunit ribosomal RNA
Source: RNAcentral
CCUACGGGUGGCUGCAGUGGGGGAUAUUGCACAAUGGGGGAAACCCUGAUGCAGCGACGCCGCGUGGGUGAAGAAGCGCCUCGGCGCGUAAAGCCCUGUCAGCAGGGAAGAAAAUGACGGUACCUGAAGAAGAAGCCCCGGCUAACUCGGUGCCAGCAGCCGCGGUAAUACGUAGGGGGCAAGCGUUAGCCGGAUUUACUGGGUGUAAAGGGGGCGCAGACGGCGAUGCAAGCCAGGAGUGAAAGCCCGGGGCCCAACCCCGGGACUGCGCUUGGAACUGCGUGGCUAGAGUGCAGGAGGGGCAGGCGGAAUUCCUGGUGUAGCGGUGAAAUGCGUAGAUAUCGGGAGGAACACCGGUGGCGAAGGCGGCCUGCUGGACUGCAACUGACGUUGAGGCCCGAAGGCGUGGGGAGCAAACGGGAUUAGAUACCCGAGUAGUC